This 76-nucleotide transfer RNA is filed under the name Spiribacter curvatus. RNAcentral's name for it is "tRNA-Lys (TTT) (tRNA-Lys-TTT-1-1)". It matches the Rfam family "tRNA". From Rfam's summary of the family: Transfer RNA (tRNA) molecules are approximately 80 nucleotides in length. Their secondary structure includes four short double-helical elements and three loops (D, anti-codon, and T loops). The record is from RNAcentral. Lineage: Bacteria; Pseudomonadati; Pseudomonadota; Gammaproteobacteria; Chromatiales; Ectothiorhodospiraceae.
GGGUCGUUAGCUCAGGUGGUAGAGCAUCGGACUUUUAAUCCGCUGGUCGCAGGUUCGAAUCCUGCACGACCCACCA